RNAcentral lists this long non-coding RNA (231 nucleotides) under Musa acuminata (dwarf banana). RNAcentral's name for it is "long non-coding RNA (MACU_LNC005632)". The record is from RNAcentral. Lineage: Eukaryota; Viridiplantae; Streptophyta; Magnoliopsida; Zingiberales; Musaceae.
AGAUUAGAAAUGAAUCUGAAUGUGAUAAUAAGAGGGUCAAGACAUCAUCGAUUUGAAAAGGGAAGUCACCACAAAAGAUUCAAUCCUAUGUAUGAUGCGAGUUAAAUUAUGAAAUAAGUUUGUAUUUGUAGGUGACUGGAGCUUAUUUUGCUUAUGAAAAUUUGGAUCAUAAAAUAAAAGAUUGCCCUUUGGACAAGAAGAAAGAAUCACUGCCUCAUAAAUCAUCAGCCC